CCUACGGGAGGCUGCAGUGGGGAAUAUUGGACAAUGGGGGCAACCCUGAUCCAGCCAUGCCGCGUGUGUGAAGAAGGCCCUCGGGUUGUAAAGCACUUUCAGUGAGGAAGAACGCCUGGUGGUUAAUACCCAUCAGGAAAGACAUCACUCACAGAAGAAGCACCGGCUAACUCCGUGCCAGCAGCCGCGGUAAUACGGAGGGUGCGAGCGUUAAUCGGAAUUACUGGGCGUAAAGCGCGCGUAGGUGGCUUGAUAAGCCGGUCGUGAAAGCCCCGGGCUCAACCUGGGAACGGCAUCCGGAACUGUCAAGCUAGAGUGCAGGAGAGGAAGGUAGAAUUCCCGGUGUAGCGGUGAAAUGCGUAGAGAUCGGGAGGAAUACCAGUGGCGAAGGCGGCCUUCUGGACUGACACUGACACUGAGGUGCGAAAGCGUGGGUAGCAAACAGGAUUAGAUACCCCAGUAGUC
This 465-nucleotide ribosomal RNA is filed under the name Vreelandella stevensii. Its description in RNAcentral is "partial 16S ribosomal RNA". It matches the Rfam family "Bacterial small subunit ribosomal RNA", at positions 338 to 795 of the family's 1533-position model. The record is from RNAcentral. Lineage: Bacteria; Pseudomonadati; Pseudomonadota; Gammaproteobacteria; Oceanospirillales; Halomonadaceae.